This 38622-nucleotide long non-coding RNA is filed under the name Malus domestica (apple). RNAcentral describes it as "long non-coding RNA (MDOM_LNC005165)". The record is from RNAcentral. Lineage: Eukaryota; Viridiplantae; Streptophyta; Magnoliopsida; Rosales; Rosaceae.
GCACAAGCAUCAAUGAUCUUAAAGCCAUGGUAUCCACACAUAUGUUGUUGAUGACAUUUCCAACCCCCUAUGGCAAUGGUUACAUAAGAGGAGAUCAACUUAGUGCACGGUCUUGUUACAAUAUUUCGGUCAAGCAACAACACCUGCAUGUGCCCAAGGAAACCUUUUCUAUACAUGACCAAGUCAUAAAGACCAGCCCGGAUGAAGCCAACUUGGAUCUUCACGGUGGCAACAGUCAACCCAACGAUCCUCGAGAUGACUCUUUCACCCAGCAAGCACAACCCGCUGAAGAGCUAGAGAAGGUUUCUAUAUCGCAUGGUGAAGAUUGGCACCACCUUGUCACCACCUAUUCAGUUGGCAUUGAUCUCUUUUUUGCAAGAAAACACUAAGGUAUUCCCCUAGUCAUACGAGGACAUGCCAGACAUCUCUCUCGAUAUCAUAUGUCAUCGCUUGAGUAUUGACCCAAGACCAAGCCGGUGAGACAGAAGCGAAGAUCUUAUGACGCUGAAUGAUACGAAGCAAUGAAGGCAGAAGUUGAAAAACUCAAAGGCAUAAGCUUCGUCCGCAAAGUCAAUUACCCAACAUGGGUAGCAAAUGUGGUCCUUAUUAAGAAAAAUCUGACCAAAGAAAGUCUUCUGUUCCAAAAGGUCUUGUGGAGAAUGUGUGUCGACUACACCGACCUAAACAAAUGAUGCCCGAAGGAUAACUUUCCUCUUCCUCUCAUUGAUAAACUUAUAGACUCUAUGGCAGGGUGUGAACUCCUGAGCUUCAUGGAUGCUUACUCAGGAUAUAACCAAAUCCUCAUGAACCCUCCGGACCAAAAACACACAACUUUCACUACUGACAGGGGACUAUAUUGCUAUAAAGUCAUGCCUUUCCUCCUAAACAAUGCAGGAGCGACUUAUCAGAGACUAGUCAAUUUAAUGUUCGCCGAACAGAUUGGGAAGAGCAUGGAAGUUUACGUUGAUGAUAUGCUAGUCAAAAGCAAACAUACUGACCAACACAUCGCUAACCUAUGUGAAACUUUCACCAUUUUGAAGAGGUAUCGAAUGAGGUUGAACCCUAACAAAUGUGCCUUCGGCAUGGGCUCUGGCAAAUUCUUAGGCUUCAUGAUAAGCCAACGAGGCAUUGAGGCUAAUCCCGAGAAGAUCAAAACAAUCCUCGACAUGAAGGAAUCGAUAACUUCAAAAAACAUCCAGAGCCUUACUGGGAAGGUGGCAGCCUUAACUAGGUUCAUCUCUAAGGCCACAAACAGAUGUGCUCAUUUCUUCAAAGCACUUAUGGGAAGUAAGAAGUACAUUACAUGGACUGAUGAAUGUGCCGAGGUAUUCAAGAACCUCAAAGACUACAUGAGUAAAGCCCCUCUGCUCUCCAAACCUAAGGUUGGUGACACUCUCAUUAUCUAUCUGUCGGUAUCGGCUUCAACAGUAAGUUCCGUUCUCAUUCGAAAUAAUGGUAAUGUCGAAUGGUCUGUCUACUACGCUAGCAAGGCCUUACAAGAUGCAGAGACAUGAUACUCUAACAUUGAGAAAUUGGCUCUAGCAUUGGUCAUGUCUGCUCGAAAACUUCGCCCUUACUUCCAAGAACACUCCAUCAUCGUGCUUACCAAUCAUCAUUUUCGACAGAUACUUCAAAAUCCUGACACUUCGGGGCAAAUGAUAAAAUGGGUGAUAGCAUUGGGUGAGUUUGACAUCUCAUACCAACCAAAGCCAGCUGAGAAGGGCCAAACAGCGGCAGACUUUAUCGUCAAUUUCACAUAUCCUGUUGACAUUGUUUCUACGCCUAAAGAAGUGGUUUCAUUACCCUCGGAAGCUCAAAAAAUAGAACCAACAGCCCCAGCAUAGAGUCUAUAUGUUGAUGGCUUGUCCAACCAACAGGGUUGUGGAGCAGGACUAGUCCUUACGCCCCUGACAAAGUGGCGAUGAAGUAUGUUAUUCGUUUCAAAUUCAAGGCGUCGAACAAUUAGGCCGAAUAUAAAGCCCUUUUAGCAGGCUUACGUUUGGCCAAACACCUUUGGGUUAAACGAAUUGAUAUCUUUAGUGACUCCUAAUUGGUGGUUAACCAGGUCACCAACAACUUUGACGCUAAAGAUAGCUCCAUGGCAGCAUAUCUGGCACAAACACAAUUGUUGCUCAAGCACUUCCAUUACCAGAUCACCCAAAUUCCUCGAGCAGUAAACAGUGAUGCAUAUGCUUUGGCUCACCUCGCCUCAACGGUGGAAGACAAGAUUGGGAGAAAAAUUCAGGUCGAAUUGUUGGCAGCACCAAGCACCAUGGUUGCGGAAGUGUGCAACUUACAACAGGGGGAUAGUUGGAUUACCCCAAUUUAUAGAUUCCUUGCUCAUGGCACCCUUCCAAAUAACAAAGUCCAAGCUAAGCAUAUUCGAUACAAGGCUACCCGUUACUUAAUCAUUAAUGACCAACUCUACAAGCUGGGUUUUAACCUACCAUACCUAAGAUGCCUUAUGCCCGCAGAGGCGGAAAUUGUCCUUAGGGAAAUACAUGAAGGAGUCUGCGGAGAUCAUGCUGGAUCUUGAUCCCUAGUACACAAGGCUUUUCGCCAAGGAUAUUAUUAGCCAACACUCCACCAAGAUGCCAUCAGAUAUCUCGCUCAUGUGAUAAGUGUUAACAUUACGCAACUAUUCCUCACUCCCUUCCCGAGUUGCUCACUCCUAUGAUUAGCCCUUGGUUUUUUGCCCAAUGGGGACUUGAUUUGAUUUGCCCAAUGCCUGCAGGGAAGGGUAAGGUUCGCUAUGCAAUCGUUGCAGUUGACUACUUCACAAAGUGGGCUGAAGUAGAACCUUUGGCAACCAUUACUGAGGUAAAAAUAAAAGACUUCGUAUGGAAGAACAUCAUUUAUUAGAUUCGGUAUUCCUAAUGCGAUAGUCACUGACAACGGGCGACAGUUCGACAACAAUAAGUUCAGGAUGUUUUGCUCUAAGUUCAACAUCAACUUAUGUUUUACCUCCCCAGCCAUCAACAAAAUAAUCAAGCGAACUUUGAAAACCAGCUUUGACAAGGCUAAAGGUUGUUGGCCAGAAUUUGUACCCCAAGUUCUUUGGUCAUACCGCACUUCGUAUCGAAUAUCAACAGGAGAAACCCCAUUCUCACUUGCCUUUAGUACAAAGGCAGUUGUCCCAGUUGAGCUUGAGCAAGCAACGUUCCGAGUCCAAAACUACGUGCAAAGCGAAAAUGACAAACAACUUACCCUCAACUUAGAUCUAGUCGAGGAACACAGAAACCAGGCUCACUUGAGGAAUGUCGCCUACAAGCAGCGCAUCUCUAACUACUAUGACUCAAGGGUCAAACCUCGUUCUUUCAAAGUGGGGGACUGGGUAUUGAAGAAAAGAUUACUCUGCGACAGAGUCCCUAAUGAAGGAACACUUAGUCCAAAUUGGGAUGGACCGUUUGAAGUUGUUGGCAUCAGUCGCCUUGGCUCCUACAAACUUAGAAGCUCCGAUGGCAAGACCCUUGGCCAUCCAUGGAACGUUGAUCAUUCGAAAUACUAUUACAAGUAAACUCACAUUGUAUAAUGUGCCUCGACACCUUGCCCUUAUUCUCACCAACCAGGUGAUGAAAUGUGAAGAAGUAACUCAUCUUCAUGCCACCAACCAGGUGAUCAAAUGUACAACCCGUACUCUAAUAUCAUUUGGCAACUUGCCACUCAUGCCACCAACCAAGUGAAGAAGGAACUCAUCUUCAUGCCACCAACCAGGUGAUGAAAUAUACAACUCGUACUCUCCUUCAUGCCACCAACUAGGUGAUGAAAUGUACAACCCGUACUCUAAUAUCAUUUGGCAACUUGCCAUUCAUGCCACCAAGCAGGUGAAAAAGGAACUCAUCUUCGUGCCACCAACCAGGUCAUGAAAUGUGAUGAAGGAACUCAUCUUCGUACCACCAACCAAGUGAUGAAAGCGACUCACCAUUCAUUCACCUACCAGAAGACGAGUGGUACAACUUGUACAUGUGAACUCUUAGCAUUCACAAAUAAUAAAAAGCUUGACAACUCAACUAGGGGAGCACUUAUGCUCAACAAGAGUUAUAGUCCCGAACAAAGUCUUAUUGUAAGCCAACAAUAACUUUAGAACAUGGCAUACGAAGAUCAAGUUAUUCAGCCCUCUUGCAUUUGCUUCAGACAUUUCUCCUUUGUAACAAUGCAAACACUACAACUCGUAGAAAGCUUCACACACUAUUGAUCAAGACAGUGUGAAGCAAAACCAAUUUAUGGUGCCAACAAGAGCUUCAUCAAAAGAGUUCAACCACAAUUCUCAAAAGCUUCACACACUCUUGAUCAAGACAGUGUGAAGCAAAACCAAUUUAUGGUGCCAACAAGAGAUUCAUCAAUGGAGGGUAACCACAAUUCUCAAAAGCUUCACACACUCUUGAUCAAGAUAGUGUGAAGCAAAACCAAUUUAUGGUGCCAACAAGAGCUUCAUCAAUGGAGGGCAACCACAAUUCUCAAAAGCUUCACACACUCUUGAUCAAGAUAGUGUGAAGCAAAACCAAUUUAUGGUGCCAACAAGAGCUUCAUCAAUGGAGGGCAACCACAAUUCUCAAAAGUUUCACACACUCUUGAUCAAGAGUGUGUGAAGCAAAACCAAUUUAUGGUGCGAACAAGAGCCUCAUCAAAAGACUUUAACCACAAUUCUCAAAAGUUUCACACACUCUUAAUCAAGACAGUGUGAAGCAAAACCAAUUUAUGGUGCCAACAAAAGCUUCAUCAAUGAAGGGCAACUACAACUCGUAGAAAGCUUCACACACUCUUGAUCAAGACUGUUCGAAGCAAAUUCAAUUUAUAUGGUUUAUCCAAACCUUCCACUACUACAAGGUGUGGCUUGCAUCACAAUCUCUUGCUCAACAAUGUGGAAGCAAAAUUUGUAUACGUUGGCUCUCCCAUAUUUUCAAAUUUCUAAUUUUCCCAAAUAAAAUUAAAAAAAAAAAAGAAAUUGGGAAAUUCAACAAAACUUCUUCAAUGGAGAACAACUACAAAUUCUCAAAAGCUUCACACUAUCUUGAUCAAGAUAAUGUGAAGCAAAAUUAAUUCAUGGUACCCAACAAAAGCUUCAACUCCAAAGUUUCACCUACAAAGCUUCAACUCCAAAGCUUCACCUACCAAAGCUUCACCUACAAAGUUUCAACUCCAAAGCUUCACCCACAAAAGCUUCACUGAUGCGAAAAUUAACUUAACACACAAAUUAAACCCUCUUUUGACAAUUGUAGUAUAUGUAUAAGUAGGGAUCGUUCUGGACCGGGGAUUAUGAGGGCUUGCUAAUAACCUCUAAACUGACUCAAAAACAUAAAACUAAACUUAAAAACACUUAACAAGACUCACAAGACUCAAAGCAAACUUAAAAUACUCAAAACAACUUAAAACAACCAAAUAAACUUAAACUAGACACUAUGAAUGACUUUGGACGAAAAUUGACUUUUACUUAAAUCAAAACGCUUAAAAACACAAACUAAAACAGAUUCUAACUAAUUAGACACACUAAAGUAAAUGGGGAUUGAGUUUUGGACGAAUUUAAAAUAAAAACAAGUAACUAAAACUUAAGACAGAUUUUGGACGAAUUUGGUUGAACUAGAUGGAUGAUAAGCUAGCUAGAGGCUCUUUCUCCACACAUGACAUGUAUGUAAACAAAUAAAUUUCCAGUUACUCCUUCAUCGAAUUAUAAACGACAAUGCCCCAAAUUAACCGUGACAUCACUAGUUAACCCUCAUAUUUUCCUUGUAUUAUUGGAUUGGAUGACAUCAUUCGACAACCCAAAGUAUUCUUCAAAAGUUCCCUACAUGACAUCAUAAUAAAGAUACAAUCAAAGAUUAUUACGUUCAAUGAAAAUCAUAAGCAUUGACAAAGCACUUGCAACUAUGACAUCAUGUCACUCAUGCUAGGAAUUAAACUUAACGCAAUCGUUUAUAAGCGACCUCCACUACUUGUAAAUAUAAGUUUGUAACGAUUAUGUGAAACUUUCUUAUAUUCUAGCAACAGAUUUAUGCAUGCCAAUUAAGUGUCGACCCUUAAUCAACAAAUACAAAUAAGUUAUCAAUCAAAUAGUUAAGCCAAUUGCAUUCACGAUUCAAGAACUCAUAAUUGGAAUUUAUCAACCCAUAUUGCACACGUAAUCAUGGCUUUGAAAUCACCCCUAGCCAAGAGGGGUUUAGUUCCUCAUGUUCACAAAACAAAGAUACAUAAACUUAAACAUUAAAAACAAAGAAUGAAAACACUUAAAAACGCUCCAACAAUCUAACUUGAAUGGCAAGCACGUCCAAGGGUCCUCCUUCUUCUCUUUGUUGCGGCACAAGGUGUGGUUUGAUAGAUGAGUGGUAAAUUAUGGUGGUGGAUAGAUAUAGGUGAGUUAUGGUGAAGGGUAAAUGGGUGGAUUAUGUUGAUGGAUCUCCAAAUCUCCUUCCCCUUGGCUGUUACACACACUUCCUUUUAUAGAGGAGUGCACGACAUAAGGGGUAAAAUGGAGUGGUGUGUGCAGCAAUGAUUCAAUGGAGUGGUGCUGAAAUGAUUCAUCCAUUGAAUCAUUGAAUAGGACAUGGAAUGGUGCAUCAAUGAGUGCAUGGAGUGGAGGUUAAAGUGAUGAAAUGGUGCAUGAAAUCUGAUAUGAUGGAGGGGACAAGGAAUGGUACAACAAUGAGUGCAUGGAGUGGAGGUUAAAGUGAUAAAAUGGUGCAUGAAAUCUGAAAUGAUAGAGGGGACAAUGAAUGUGCACAGCAUGGGUGGAUAUCUGCAAUCUUUGCCUUGUGUUCCAGAUCACUUCCACAUGUCCUAGCUGUUAGACAACUUUCACACACAUGUUUUGCAUCAUUUCAUUUUGCAAACACCAACUUUUGGCCACUUUACACCUCUUCACACAUGCACCUGCUGCUAGAUACUUUCACACACAUGCUAUGCAUCAUUUCAACUUGCAAUUAUGUUUGUAGUUGCUGGAAAUGUAAAUACAACUUGUAAAGCAAUCCAACAAAUGGCAUCUUUCACUUCUUUUCCUUUCAAAUUGUUCCUUAAGUGUAUGUAUCUGCACACUUCCACACUUUAACUUCAUUAUUCAGAUUUUUGCAUAUGUUGGAACCCUUUUUAAAACACCAAAAACGUCCAUCCAACUUGCUCCAUAUGCAUGCAAUCCAUUUCAGCCCAAAAUUGCUCCAAAAUGCACCAAAAUGCACUUUCUUGCCAACUUUGUUAUUAGGACCUACAAACACACGAAAAUAGUUUAAAAUACAAAUUGACUAAGAAAUAACAACAUAAAUGCACAAGAAUAAGCUAACUAAGUCACAUAAAUAUGCUCCUAUCAUUCACCCAGAAUAGCUUCACCUACAAAAGCUUCACCUAUAAAAGCUUCACACACUCUUGAUCAAGAUAGUGUGAAGCAAAAUCAAUUCAUGGUACCCAACAAAGCUUCAACCUCAAAGCUUCACCUACAAAGCUUAAAAAUAUAUAUAUAUUUUUUCAGAAAUUCGAAAAUUUGAAAAAUCGAAAAAAAAAAAAUAUUGUCUAGGCCUCCUCUUCUUUGGGCCUAACAACUUUCAUAACAAAUAUAUAUGAAGGAUGAGUUUUAGGCUACCACUUAGAAAGGAAAUGCCUCAUUCGUCAACUCCCUCAACCGAAGACUUGGGGAACUCCUACCAUAUGCUACUGCACCUUGAUACUCGGAAGUCUCACGACCACUCAGUGGCUUGGAUUUUUCAAGUCUCCAACCGAGAAAUUUUUCUCACUCGGGAAAUUAAGGGAGCACUACCUCAACAUAUAUGCUUCACUCACAAAGCUUCAACAUACAAGCUUCAACAAAAGAAAAAAUUCAAAGAACUUAGUGAAGAAGGCUUUGGUGUAAUUAACACAAUACGUUGAAAUGAAGCAAAGCUUAUUUAUUGAUAUCUCCAAUAAGUUACAAAUAUGUACAUAUACAUGAAUCAAAAUAAACAAACAAGAGGGAGCCUUCACAAAGGUUGCUCAGGAGAAGUCUCAGCAGUCGGCAGAGCCCCAGAAAGAGAAGGCACCGGAAGGUAAUCAUUCGGAGCCUCAUACUGGACAGAACCCCAGAAGGAUGAGGCAUCCGAGGUUGAUCAUUUGGAGCUUCAUUACGCGGUACAAACCCAGAAGACGAAGGCAAUAAAUGCCUUUAGAACAAACCCACAAACCUCUGAUGAUCAAGUAAAAUAUGACCAUCAGAUUCCUGCAUCUAGUCAAGCUUCCUCUUCAUGUUAGUAGCAUAGUCAUGUGCGAGCCUGUGCAACUGUUUAUUCUUAUGCUUGAGCCCUCUAAUCUCCUGUUUAAGACUUAUCACUUCAGCUGCCAAUGAUUCAACUUGGCGGGUUCAAGCAAAUAGGCGUUGGGCCAUAUUAGACACAGAACCUGCACACUGAACACUAAAAGCUAGAUAAUCUUUAACAACCAACUCAUCAGACCGUUUGGAAAGUAGUUUGUUAUCUUUGGGAGUGAGAAGGUUCCUGGCCACCACCGCAGCAGUCAUAUCAUCUUCAUCACAGAGUCCCCAACGGUAAGAGGAUCAGUAGGGGAUAAGAAGGAUGAGCGCCAUAUGUUGUCUUGAGGAGGCAUGGCUGCCUCUUCACCAAAGUUCAAGUCAAAACGACGAUCGAAUGGGCCAAACAUUUUUAGAAAUCAUGAAGGAGAAAUGAGGUCCAAUAAAUCUCUGAAGUACGAAAAUUCCUACAAGCAAUAACUCUCUGAACGUACUUUUUGCACACAAUUGGUGCCCCUAUAAAAGAAAGGGCAGCAUGGUCAUUUGUUCAAAAAUAAAAAAGGCACCACUCUCCGAAUUUCGAGAAGCAGAUUUUCCUGAGUAAAAUAUGUCGACAAUCCCCACAUGCAACAUCAGCUCCUCGGGUACCACAGAUAACUUUGCGAAAGAUCUCUGAUAAAGUUUAAACACAUAAAUUUUGAAAGUUCAGCUACCCUACCAUUACCCACAAGGGUAAAGGAACAGCAUCACUGCUUGAUAACUGGAAAUUCCCUAUGUGUGUCAACCUCCGUGCUCCGUGGCAAGGCAAACUGGCAAAAAUGCCCAACCUUUACUCAUAUCAAGAAAACACUCCCAACAGGAUUACUUUCUCAAAAAUCGAAGAGGUGUCGCUCCCCGAAUCUCGAUAGCCAGACUCUCACCAGGAUUGCUUUCUAAAAAAUCGAAAAGGCAUCGCUAUCCGAAUCUCGAGAGCCAGACUCCCACUAGGAUUACUUUCUCAAAAAUCGAAAAGGCACCGCUAUUUGAAUCUCGAGAGCUAGACUCCUACCAAGAUCGUUUUCUCAAAAAUCAAAGAGACAUCGCUCUCUAAAUCUCGAGAGCUAGAUCUCCAAUAGGAUUACUUGUUCAAAAAUCGAAGAGGCAACGCUCUUCGAAUCUCGAGAGCUAGAUCUCCAACAUGAUUGCUUGUUCGAAAACCGAAGAGGCACCGCUCUUCGAACUUUGAGAGCCAGAUUUCCUUGGAUAAAAUUUGUCUGCAAUCUUCACACACAACAUCAGCUUUCUAGAUACCACAUACCACUUUUUCAAAGUGCUCUGACAAAGUUAAAACACGUGAAACUUGCAGCUUCCACUACAUUGCUAUGACCAAGAAGGGUAAAAGAAUAUCAUUAUUACUUGUUGUUGGGGAAACUUCUAUAUAUGUCAACCUCCAUCCUCCACAGAUAGGCAGACGUGCAAAAAUGCUCAACCCUUCCUCAUAUCUGAAAGGGCACUCCCAAUGAAGCUUCUCGAAAUACUCAGCUUUCUUUCCCCCCGAUAAUACCUCUGCAAACAAGCUACACUAGAGUAAGAAUAUCUCAUAUCAUCAGGGUUAAAAGCAAGAGUAUCUCAUAUCAUGUUUUUCCCUGUCUUUUCCUUUGGCCUUGUUCUUACCUGCAAGACAAGGAGAAAGAAAGUAAUCAGUCAUCACAUGGAAUCAAGCUUUCAGUCAGGAACUGACUGCCUGGAACCCCUUGCCUGAUUACUUACCUGUCAUUGCUCUCAAGUACUCAUCUUCAACAUCUUGUGCUUCCAGAAAAGAUACCACAUCUGCCUAAGGAACAGAUAGGGCAAGUGAGAAGGAUUCAAGGUAGCAUGUGGAGACAAGCGCAACAGAACACGUGCCGAUUCAUCUAUUACUUUGUCAAUAACAAAAGUAUCUCAUGUCAUCAAGGUCGAACGCACUCUUGAUUUGAUGAACUUGUUUUAACCCUCAAAUUCUUAAGUCAGCUUUAUACUCUGGAGGAAACUAGAAAACCUUCCAGCCCAGUUCAAGAAUAAGCAUAUGGAAAGUUACUUCUUGAAAAGUAAAAGUAUCUCAUAUCAUCUCUUCUCAUUUUUCUUCUCUUUAUCAUUCCUGCUGCCUGCAAGAUAGGGAGAAUGAGAACAAUCAGCCGGAACUCGAAAUCAAACUUCUGAUCUAGGACUGAUUACUGGGAGCUUUGAUUGCUUACCUUGUCUGUCACCUCUUUCGGCAGAUCUCCUAGCUCGGCGACUUGGGGGACUCCUACUACAUGGUUUGUAUUGUGCUUGACCAAGCCUGAAACUACAAGUAAGCUUCAAGUGAAAUUGAUACAUUACCUUGUGCAUCUUCACCGGUUAAAGAUACCACCCCUAGAUAGAGGAAAAGUACUUACAGAGAAGAUGCCACAUCUACCUAUGAGACAGAUAAGGCAAGUGAAAACGAUACCACACUUCGGUACUUAGAAGUUUUGUGAUUACUCAGCGGCUUGGAUCUUGCAAGUCCCUAACCGAGGAGGUUCCCUCACUCUGGAACUUAGGGGAGCAUUGUUUUACCAUACUUGACCAAUCCCGAAACUACCGAGCACCAGUCAAUGUUAUACCGUCAAGGACCCAUAAGAGUUUCCCUCCAACCAGGAGGUCAAUCAUAGUGCGACAUGUGUCAACAUCAGAAGCCAAUCAUAGCGCGACACAUGUCAACAUCAGAAGCCAAUCACAACACGACACGUGUCACAGUCAGAACAAAGCUAGAAACUCUCUUCUAUAAAAAGGAUAUCAUUCUCCCACAAUAUUUCCAAAUGUCAUUUGUACUAAAUCAAUCACUAGUUCUCACAAAAUGAGAGCUUGAACCUAUACUUGUGUAAACCUUUCACAAUUAAUGAGAACUCAUCUACUUCGUGGACGUAGCCAAUCUAGGUAAACCACGUACAUCUUGUGUUUGCUUCCCUAUCUCUAUCCAUUUACAUACUUAUCCACACUAGUGACCGGAGCAAUCUAGCGAAUGUCACAAACUUAACACUUUCUAUUGUACCAAAGUCCUCACUGAUUUUGUGCAUCAACAUAAUAUAUAGCACUAUCACAUAUAAUAUUUAGAUGACGAAAAUUUUGGGCCCCUUCAAAUUUGGAGGCCCUGUGUGACUGCACCUUUCGCUCUCCCUCAACGCCGUCUCUGCACCACGUGAUUGUGUUAAUGCAUUUUUGUUAUAUUAAAAUAGUAAGGAGUCGCACCCCAUCAAAACGAAUCUCUCAAAGAAGUCCACAAAGACCCAAAAUAGCAAUGAACUAGGAGGCAACGCCUACAACCCCAAUUGGAGAGGCUCCAAAUCAGGUGCCUCGCCUUCAGCUACCGAGCGCUACAACUAAAGCGCUCGACCCGAAAACUUUUCUAUUUCCACAGCCGCUCACUUCAACAUAGCUUCGUUAUCUAUACAAACUAAAACAUCUUUCUAAAUGUAAAUAAUUAAGCCAUUACUUAACUAAUUGAAAACACUUGAACUAAUCGGCUUACUUGAGCUAUAACCAACUGGAAUACUUGAACUAACCAGGUUAUUUGACUAGAAUCAACCGGAAUACUUGAAAUAGCCAGGCUAAUUAAUCAAUUUAUCGACCAAAGAAAAACUCCCCAACAACUAACCAAAAAAAAACCCAUAAAAUCAAUCAACUAUUAACAUAAACUCCUAACAAUUAACCAAAACAAAAGCCCAUAUCAAGUCAUAUCAGAUAUUCAUAAGUAUAUGUUGGGCUUCCGGUUGUUUGGGUUUGGGAGUUAGAUUUGUUUUUUUUAAUUUAUUUUUUUUUUAAAUCCGGUAGUUUUGAACAAGAUUGUUUGGAAAAAAGAAAUAAAAGCAAAAAGUUGCGCGCAACACAAGCUACUUCGUGCAACAAACCUUUGAGCUGAUUCAAGCAUUUAGUUCAACUGUAAAUUUUCUAGUUCAAUAGUGUCAAAAAAGUGAAGGUCGUGGGCACCAAAGGGUCACUAGAGCUGCUUCCCAACCACAGUUUGGACCUUUCACGAGGUAUCCGAAUCACUCGUCUCUUGGUGGUGGAUCAGCCAUUGUGUAUGCUAGUUUCUUUGGAACUUUUGUUAGUCUGCUUUUGCAAUAUCUUUGUACGAUAACUUUUUUAACUUUGUUGAAUUAUUUAAUCACCUGUAUACAUGCAUCCAAUUUAUUACAUUUCCUAAAGGUUAACUUACUAAACUUGGCUUCCCUACAAUGUUGUCCACAAGAAGUUUGAAAUCCCCCCUUGAUAACAAUAGUAGAAAGAAAAAAAAAAUUAACAAUACUUGAAAAUUCUCAAUUGGUUUAGCAGUUAUAACCCAAUGAAAUACCACUAUGUUAGGAUGAAAAAAAUAAAUUUUGAAUUUGAACAAAAGUCAGAAUUUGUAAAUUGACAUGCACCAAUUUUCUUAUUUGGAUUUAUAAACAUAUAAAUUUAGAAUUUCAACCUGGAAAAAAAGUUUUUGAAAUUUGGGAUCUCUAACAUUCUGUUUGGAUGAAGAAAUUUAGUAUCACUAAGGAAUUUUAAAAUGACAAAAAUUGGAAUGACGGGAUUUAUUUGGUUAACUUAAAAGAAGAAUUGAAUUGAAUACAUAAUUUGUUAGUUUUAAACUCUUAAUCGUAGAAAUUGGGAAAUGACACAUAUUUAUAUAGAAUUUAAACUUGGAAAUUAGAGGUCCCAAAUCCAGGUUUUUUUUUACACGGAAAUUCUAAAUUUCUAUGUUUAUAAAUCCAAACAAGGGAAUUUGUGCAUGUUAAUUUAUAAAUUUUGACUUUUAUCCAAAUUCCUAGUUUAUUCUCCUCAUCCAAAACAUAGUGUAAUUCCCACAUUUAAAUUCUAUGUAAAUGGCUAUCAUUUCUAAAUUUUCAUGAGUGAGUAUAAAAAUAAAAAAUAUAAAAAAUGAGAAAUUAGGUUCUCAUCCCUAUUUUUUCAACUCCAUUGAUUGAAACCUUAUUCCUUUUCAAUUUUUAAUCAAGGUCCCUUGGUUUUACUAAACAUCAUUAAUUAUUUCAAUAAUAAAAUAUUUUACAUAUCAAGAUAAUUAAAUUUUGUUUCUAAAUUAUUCAUUUAGUGUUAGAAACAUUACAUUUGAUAUAUUUAUAUUUAUGGCUAACUUUUGUAUCAUAUAUUUUUAUUUUUAGUUUGUACCCAUUUUAAUUUGCAACCUUUUAUUUUUAAAUUGUGCCAAUUUUCUAUUCACUUUUAGUUUGUACCCAUAUUCUUUUUGUGUCCAUAGUUUUCAAACUUUUAUUUUUACUCAUAUUUUGUUGACCUUUUAUUUGUACCCAUAAUUUAUUUAUAGUGUACCCAUUUGUCUUUAAAAAUGUACCACUUUGUUAUAUGUAAAAUGUAACUUUUUUUUUUUAAGUACCAUCUCUUUUGUGUAAAAUGUACCCAUUAUUAUUUUUAUAUGAAAUGUACCCAUUAUAUAAAACGUAUCACUUUUGUUGUAUAAAAUGUACAAACUUUUUGUAUGUAAAAUGUAUCGUAUAAAAAUUACCAAUUUUUUAUAUGUAAAAUGUCAUUAAUAUAAGUAAUGACAAAUCAUGGGUUUUAUUUAAGUAUAAUUUUUUUUAAUAUUUUCAACAAAUUAUGGAAUUUAUUAAAAUCUCAUUAAUAUAAAUAACUACAAAUAUCAAAUUUUAAUUUAAAAUUUAUAAUAACCUACAUAGAAAUGUAUUAUUGCAUUAAUUUCAAGGACUUCAAUAAAAAGCGAAAACCAACAAGGUUUCAAUCAAAGAACGUUAAUAAAUAGAGACCGCAUCCAAGGUCACCCUAUAAAAAAACUCAAUCAUUAGUGGACACCACCACCAGCACCACCCACCACCAUGGCUAACGCCGCCACCACCACUUACCGUUAUCUCCUCCGCCACUCCCGCCGCUACCACCCACCGUCAUCGCACCGCCGCCGCCGCCGCCACUACCCACCAUCGUCACCGCCGUCUCCACCACCACUACUAGUACAUUUUCUAACUACUAUACCUCUUAAUAACUUUAUACACACAUUAAAUUUCAUUGCUCUUUUAGGUUAACUAAACAAGAAAAUUCACAAAUUUUAAAAAAUAAAUUCCAUCAUUUCAAUUUCUGUUAUUCUAAAUUUCUUCAUUACGAUACUUCCAUAUCUUCCACACAAGCCUAGACAAAAUAGUAAAUAAAAAAAUCCAAGAUCACACAAUUUGAAAUGUUAAUUAGCAUUGGUCUCUCAAUGAUGCUAACUUUCAUUUGCAAAAGGUCCCCAAGAUUCUGCAAAAUAUGAUCACAUAAUCUGCAGCACCAUUCCUUAAUUCAGAAAUCCAGAUUCUGAUUAUUUGACAAUCUUCCAUUAAAAGAAAAACGUGUUGCCUGAAUCUUUGUCCUAUUUUCAACUACCGUAUCAAAACAUUGCGCUUUCUACGCAUAUAUACAUAUGAUUUUUGAAUCCCUUGCCUUGCAACCUAGGUAUUCCGUUUUUGGUCUGACUCCCAAUCGGGUUGCCUUAUCAAGGUCUCGUGGGUGUUACCUGCAGAUCAUGUUCAUAUGAUUAGGUAAUUUCACAGGAGAAUUGUUAUUAGCAUUCCAAAAUCUCAUUCUAUACUCCUCACAAGUGUAUUUUUCUUUGUAAUUAAUAUAGAAAGGUUGAAGUGCCAAAUAAAAUUUUUGGAGUGCUAAUAACAAUUCUCUUUCACAAAACGAGAGAGGAAAAAAUCAGAGUAAUAUACAAAAGACACAGUUGCACCCUCCAUAACCAAUUUAGAUAAACCAACGCUACCCAAUGUACCCAUUUAAAUUUAAAAAAUGGAUUUAAUAUUUAGCCAAAUAUAAACCUUAUAUUAUCCACUUUGCACUAUAUACAUUUUUUUGUUCUAAGACAAGAGUCAAAGAUAUGGAUUUUGGUAGCCAAUUCAACGGCGUGAAAUCAUUGCCCAGAUCAUAUCAUAUGGGUCUCGACAAAAGCGACCACGUCAUGGGCCAUGCAACUUGCUUUACUCAAAAUGUAUGGCAUAAGAUGCCUACUAAAGAUCCUGGAGCGUUGAAAACACUCACCUUUAAUUAUUCAUGUGUAUGAUUGACCUAGUGCCAAUUAUCUCUCUCCCCUUUUCUUUUAAUUUUUCGACAAACGAUAGCGUUAGUGGAUUAAAUUGUUUAAUGUUAAGGAGAAAAUGAUUAAUAGAGAUCGAACUUGCGCCAAAUACUUGCCUAAAUUAAGUCUAAAUAACUAUAAUUUUAUCCUUAUUGUACAUUGCCUCUUCACGUGUAGCAUGGAGCUAGUUGUGCCGAAUAACUAAGGCCUCGUUUGGAUGUGCUUUUAAAAUGACUGAAAGCGUUUUUAGAGAAAAUAUUUUUGGAUUCCUAAAGCACUUAAAAUGCUUUUUGCAAUAAGCACUAGUUAUGUGAUUUUUUCAUGAAGCACUGUAAAUGUUUUUCGAGAAUUUACUUGUAUUUUUACUAAAGAUUAGUUCUAAAAAUAUUUUCACCAAAAGCACUUUCAGUUAUUGUAAAAGCACAUCCAAACAAGCUCUAAAGCUUUCAUAUUCUAAUAGUUGUCCAAUUAAUUAGGGUAAAUUACACUUUACCACCUCAGGUUUGGGGUCGAUUUCAAUUCCUUGCAACAUCUUUAAAACAUUUCACUUUCAUAUAUAAAGUACUAUUUUAUUUCAAUAUAGUACCUCCGUUACAUUUUUCAUCCAUUGAUCCGUUAAGAGCUGACGUGGCUGCCACAUUUGUGCCACGUGGCAAAAAAAAUAAAUUUUAUUUACUUAAAAAUAAUUAAUUAAAGAAAAAUUAUUUAUAAAAAAAAAUAAAAACCAACCUAGAACCCAUCUUCCCCCCGACCCACCUCCUUCCCCCGCAACCCUCACCCCCCCUUCUCCUUCUCCUCCAUGUUCACCUCUCUCUGCUUCUCCCUCAAUUCACCACCACACAACUCAUCUGACUUACCUAGCGAUGCAAGGCCUACUAUGUUGCUCCAACCCAUUUUCCCCCUUCCCCCACCCCUCUUCCCCCUUCCCCCACCCCUCUUCUCCCUCCUAAGCCUCCCAACUUCGGCCUUACCACCGUCGGCUCUACAUCAGCAACCAGCUCGCCCGAGUGGUCUCCCUCGGCGAAUGAGAACAUCGACCCUGAUGCAUGCCGGCUCUGCCGCCUCUUGAUGUCGCUAAGCUCCAUUUUGGCUGGGGCUUGACCAGCGACCCAAUCAAGUUCAAAUUUCAGCUGGUCAGGUAUAGGUCCCACUGACGGAAGGGGUGGGAUUUUUGGUAGUGGGUGAUGGGGGAUUUUUGGGAGGGGUCAUGGGGUGGGAGAAGGGGGUGGGUCGAGGAAGACGAUUUCUGGUUUUUUUUUUUUAAAUAACUUUUCUUUAAUUAAUUAUUUUUAAAUGAAUAAAAAAUUUGUUGCCACGUGGCGCAAAUUUGGCAGCCACGUGGCACAAAUGUGGCAACCACGUCAGCUCAAUGCAUGGGAAAUGUAACGGAAGUACUAUAUUGAAAUAAAAUAAUACUUGGGGUAUGAAAGUGAAAUGUUUUAAAGGUUUUAAAGAUGUUGUAAGGAAUUGAAAUCGACCUUAAACCUGAGGUGGUAAAGUGUAAUUUACCCAUUAAUUAAUGAUAUCAAUUUAUUGAAUUUGCUAUAUUGCAUGAUCGAAUAAAAAAAGAAGAGCCUUUAGGUUCGGAAAGGAAAAAAAUGUAAACUAUAAAUCAUCAUGACAGCUAUAACUAAAAGUUUCAUAAAAAAAUAGAAAAAAACACUUAAAAGUUCAAUAUUGGAGAAUACUUGUCCUCCUCUAUUGAAUCUUUGUUAUGAAAUUUUUAUGGCGUCACAAAGUUGAGUUUUUUUUUUCCAAAUUAUUAAAUUUGAAAUAUUUUUUUCUCUUUACAUAGGAACAUAAUUAAUAAAAUACAAAAUGGAUAUUGUACAUAAAAGAUAUGUACAUGUAUUAUUCGCUAACUUUGCUAAAAAAAAUACUUAUGGAAAAUUUGGACAUUUUUAAAAUUUUAAUAUUUAUUCAUUAAAAUAUUUAUUUCUUUGAUAAUAUGUUAAAAAUAUUAUAGACAAUAUGGAUUUCAUAUGUUUUAUUAAAAAAUAUGUCCAAAUAACGUGUAUUAAACGUAAAAAUAUACAUAUGCACGUGUAAUAUUUUGAAGUUAUAAUAAUAUGAAAUUAAACGAAUCAUUAAAUGUGUAUGAAAAAAUAAAAAUAUUUUUGAAAAAUAUGCAUGUACGUGUAUAAUAUGCAAAUUUACUAGCAUGUUCAAAAUAAACCACCACACCACCACAGAGUGACUUAAAUUUAUUUUGAGCCAAAUUCUUUUGUCAUGAUAUGACUAAAUUAAUUUAGGUAGUUUUCUUUAUUUAAACGAUAUUUUAAUUAAUUUAAUCAAAUUACAGGCAUACUUGAACUUGAAUAUAGAACGAGGGACAUGUUGUUGGGCCAACCUGACUAUAACUGUAACAACCCAUCCCGAAAUUUACGUAACGGAAGGGUAUUUUCGUAUUUUCACUUUGGUUGGGUUUUAUUUGUUUUAAAAUAUUGCUUUUUGGUGUUAAAUGGUGUGCCCUUGGGCCCAUCCCUAAUUUUGGUCCCCCGGCUCUCCCCUCUCCUUGCCUGCCACGUGGCAUCCCACUUCUUCCCUCCCCAACAUCUCUCUCUCUCCCUCACCUAUCCCAGUUUUCUCCAUCACUAUGCACUAUCUCUCCCUUUAUCUCCGAGAAGGAACCACCAUCAUUCCUUUCGAUUCCGACCAAGCCAGUCUCAUAAAUCCUUAUUUCGAACCUUUAGGACAUAGGGAACACGAUUACAUCCUCGCUUGCAUCAUCAAAGCACCAUUUGAGUGAUCCACCAUUGAAGCCGAGAUCUUCAAGCUUUCAUUUCUCAAACCCAGCUAAGGUUAUUGCUCUAUUCCGUUCAUUCAAGUUAUUCUUGGGUUGAUGUUGUGUUUUGAGUUGAAAACUAAAGGUAUCUAACUCGUUCGUGCAUGCUCUUCCCCCUUCCCAGUUUUCGAUGGAGACCCAACGACUUUUGAGCCGAAGUUUGGCCGACUCCGGCCACCCCACGGUAUGUCACAUGUACGAAUCUCUUCCUUUCUCUCGUAUCUUCAUUUUAGUAUGAGGAUCGUAGGGUAGAAUGGUGAAAUGGCGUCGACUGGAGCUUAGGAGGCUCCGGUCUUCUUUCUCGGUGAAAAAAUGGCUGGCUCGCCCAAACCCAUAGAGUGCAGGCCAUUUGGGCCAAGCAAACUAGGGCCUUCGGCCCGUUGAAUUAAAAGCCCAACCUAGUUAGCCUUUAACCCAAAACCUUUUUUAACUUAGGCCUUAGGCCGUGUAGAACUUGGGCCUUAGGCCCGUUAACCCUUUUAACCCAUUGAACCCUUGCCCCAACCCUUGGCCCAAUGUAAAACCGGCUUAACCCUUGGGCCGUAUAACUAGCCCAAGCCCGAGGCCACACAUUUAGGCCCAACCCAAACCCUUGUGUCUCGACCCGAUUAACCUGACCCGACCCGAUUGACUUGACCUGGACCCGUUGACUCGAUCUGACCGUUGACUUUGGUCAAAGUUAACCAUUGACUCAGUUAACAAUGACCGUUGACCGUCAACAUUGACUUUUUGUUGACUUUUUCUGGUUUCAGUUGGGACCUUUUCUAGGCUAAUUUCGACGUCCUGGAUCCGUUUUUAAGUCCGCUUUCCCAAAUUCAAUCGUUUUAAUAGAGUUUUAUUAAUUAGACCCUUUUUGUGCUUAGGUGCAUUUAUUGUGACAAUUUCCAUCUUUGUGUGGCGCUUUGACAGCGAAAUAUCUGUGAGUGGAUCCUUUCUAAAAUGUAUGUUUUAAUAUUAGAAAUGCAUACAUGAAAAGCAUGAUUUAAUGGUUACGUUUUAUAAGUAAAUUAUAUUUACACUUUAUGAUUAUCAAGCUUUACUGAGAAUAUUUUGGAAUGCCAUACUUUAUCGAAUUUAUGUUCUUUAUAGUAUAUAUGAUGGAUGACUAUAUACUAUUUAUGAACAUGUUUUUAAACUUCUUUGUAGUAUAUAUGAUAGAUGACUAUAUGCUAUGAAGAUGUUUUUGAGAUAUAUUUACGUAUAUUGGAAAUAGUAUAUUCAAUGUUUUUACGCUUAUCUAGUGGUCAAUGUUCCCCUACGAGCGAUGAUACUUAUAUUAGCCUACGGGUCGGAAGAUAUAUUAUAUUUGGCCUACAUGUUAGGUGAUGUAGGGGCCUACGGGUCGAUUAUGAUACCACUAUUUAGCACACUAUAUACGAUAUAUGUUUUAUGAAAGAUUUUAUGGCAUGUUAGGGUUUUCGGAAAAACCUAUUACAUAAUAUACUAAUGAAUUUCCAUAAAACUUUGGGGGGUUAGUACGUUAUUGAAUAACUAUUUUAGUAUUUUAUAUAUAUAUAUAUAUAUAUAUAUAUAUAUAUCAACUUGGUCCACUCAUAUUUUGUUUUGCGCCCCCUCAGGAUUUAGAAUCAAGGUGUACAAUCCCGGUGUUAGGGCACUUCCGCAUCGACAUUUUCAAGUCAUGUCGGUGUAGGAACCAUUCCUUUGCUCAUUCAAUUUUAUAUUAUUUCCUUUCUGGUGUCUCAAAUUAGUUGUAUGCUCUAAACACGUUCCUCAUAGCAUAUUAAUUACAUUUAAAUUUAUAAGUCUUAUUUAUUUCUAGUUCUCAUGCAUUCUAAUAUGGUUUCGUCACCUUCGGAUGUCGGCCAUCACGUGCCUACCCUGGUGUUUGGUGAAUAUCAGGGUCGGGCAUAAUGAUUGUUAAUUAACUAAAUGUAGAAUUAUGACUCAUUGUAUUGGUGUGUGGAAAAUUUUACAAUAUAUAUAGCAUUAUGUUAAUCCCUAUUUAGGUAGGAAUCCUACACUAAUCACAAUUGGAAAUGACAUUCCCAUAUACAUAUUACAAUCACAGUGAAGAAUUUCAAUUGAUUAAGUCUAAUCUAACAACAUCCCUUCCCCACGCAAAUUGGACGAGCUGAAUCAGACAAGUUUAGAACAAAGUAGGCAUGACGAGGCUGAUGAAGAGCUUUAAUGAGAAAAUCGGCCGUUUGAUCAGCAGAGAGAAUAUAGCAAAAAUGAUGACUACCAAAAGCAAACUUUCACAUACAAAAAGAUUAUCGAGUUUUUAUGUGACGUGUGCGAGCAUGAUGGACUAGACGAAUGGCAAUAUAAGUGGCACUCAAAUUAUCACAAUGUAAUAAAAUAAUAGUAGUCAAUCGAACCCCAAACUCACUAAAAAGGAAGCAAAACUCAAAUAGAUAAGAUGGCCACUAGUGAACACUGAGGGUCCAGACAACUCGCCCAAUUAGCAUCCGAAUAAACAAAUAAAGUAGUGGUAUGAAAACGCAGAUGAAUGUCGAAGUCUAAAGUACCUUUAACAUACUCGAUAAUCCUUUUAGCAGCGAUCAAGUGAGUAAUGCGGGGAGCACUCAUGUACUGAGAGAUUGUAUUACCGCAAAAGAAAUAGCAGGAUGAGUGAGAGUAAGGUAUUGCAUAGAGUCAACUAACUCACGAAAGACGGUGGGAGAAGAAAGUAAAAAACCAUUCCUAGCAAUGAUAGCAACUUGGCAGCAAGAGGGGUCGAUGCCGAUUUACAAGAAACCAUGUCAAACUUCUUAAGCAGAUCAUGAGCAUAUUUAAGUUAAUGAACAUGUAGGCCAGUGGAGUCACGAGUAGCCUUUAAUCCCUGAAAAUAAUUGAGGGGCCAAAUCCAUAAUGUCAACUUGAUUGCCAAAGAGAUCAACAAAUUAAGUAACAAGAUCUGAAGAGCUACCAGUGACGACAAUACCAUCCACAUAAAGAAGCAAAAAUAUAGUGCGAGUGAGACACCUAAAUAUAAAAAGAGAGGAGUCAGCAAUACUCUAAGUAAAUCCAAGGUACAAGAGGAAAUAAUGGUGGCGGUUGAACCAAUCACGAGGAGCCUGUUUGAGACCAUAGAGAGAUAUGUGAAGGCGAACAUGAUUAAGACGUGCAUGUUAACAAAGCGAGGGGCUGAGCCAUGUAGACAUUUUGUAUUGAUGUGUGAAUUAUGACUCCUUGCAUUGAUGUAUAGAACAUAUUACAAUAUAUAUAGGAUUAUAUUAAUCCUUAAAAGCUGAAAAAUUAAAUCUUGCUUUUUCAGCUAAGCUUGUCUAGAAAAUUAUCAAUGAUAAUGAUAGCUGAUGGGUAAAGAUUGUAAAAGCGAAACAUUUAAGACAUAAAUCUAUUUGGAAUAUGAACUGCAAGCAAAAUCAUUUAGCAGCUUGGAAGGGUAUUCUAGCAGCAAGACAUAUUGUGAAGAUAGGAAUGAGAUAGACUGUGGGAAAUGGUCAAAACAUUGCGUUUUGGUCCCAUAAUUAGGUUUUUCCUUUCCCUUUAUCCAGUAUCAUUGCCAUUCAAUCCCAUCAUCUUAUUGACUGGAACCUUAAAGUUAGCAAUGUGAUGCUGGAUAAAAUUGGAAUGUUGAUCUCCUUAACCAACUCUUACCAGUGGAUGUUGCUGAUAAAAUUUUAGCCAUUCCUAUCCCGAUCAGUGAUGUUGAAGAUAAACUUAUUUGGGGCCCUACCUCUAAUGGGGAGUUCUCAAUUAAAUCAGCUCACAUAAUUCAAAUUGGUGAUAAUCAGUGUCACAUGUUUAAGGGACUUCUUAACAGAAUUUGGAAACUAAAUAUUCCUUACAAAGUUAAGUUUUUUGGUUAGUUGUUGGUGAGAAAUAAGCUAACCACUAAUGUUAAAUUAAAUAAGUUCAACGAUAACAAUUUUGCCUUAUGUCCCUUAUGUAAUAAUGCCGAGGAAGACCUUGGUCAUAGAUUUAAAUCUUGUCAAUUUGCUCAGGAGUUGUGGAAGAUUGAUAAUAAGUUGCCUGCUAUUUCCCUUGCUCAAAGUUUAAAUGACUGGCUUAAUAGCCUUGAUUAUAUAGACAAAGACGAUCCAUAUGAUCUUAGUAAGGCUCUUUUUAUUUAGUGGCAAAUGUGGAAUGAUAGGAAUGAUUUUGUGUUUAAUCAGAUAAAGCCGACCCCAAUUCAUUAGAAACCAUUGAGGUCAACCUUGCUUGGCGGGUUCGAGAAAUCUGGGUCAGAACACAUUUACAGUUGCAGAGGCUUUGGUUACUAGGGAUGCUCUCUUGGUGGCCAGAUCAAGGGGUUUAAAGAAGGUCAAGAUUGAAGGGGAUUCGAAGAUUGUCAUUGAGGCAAUCAUGGGAAAAUGUAGCAUUCAUUGGCGUAUCCGUGCUAUUGUUAAAGAUAUCGAAUGGCUGGUAUCUUUUUUUACUCUAUUACUUGGAAGCAUAUUUUAAGGGAAGCUAAUUUUGUAGUUUAUGCCAUCACUUCAAGUGGGCAUGGUUUAGAUAACUUCCAUUUUUGGAUUGGCUGUGCGCCUAAUGUCUUGUUGUUUGACUCUAUGGGCCUUGGGUGCUCCCGGGAUUUUCCCUCUCUUAAUGUUAUUUUGUUUCUCAAAAAAAAAAAUCCGAAUUAAUUAACUCUAACCUAACAUUGAAGAAUAAUCAAAUAUUUUAAAACAAAACGAUCAUAAUUCAUCAGACAAAUUGCGAGUGGUGCGAGAGAACAAAUGAAGACGUACAAUCAUCGUUUUAUACUUUUUCAAAAAGCCAAGCACAAGAUGGCGAAGGCGAGGCGGAAACAACACCCAAAAAUCAAAGCAUUAAAUAUCAGACCAAAAAAAAGAAAAAAAAAAAAAAAAAGAAAAAGAAGCGGGAGUGCGGGGACGCGGGAAAAGAGGCGCGUGGAAGGGAAACAGCUUCUCUUGCUUUUACUUAUUCUUUACUCGUCGGCUACUCCACCGUCCCUUGCCUGCCUCGCCUUGCCUGCUGCUGACUCUCUCUCUCUCUCUCUCUCUCUCUCUUAAUUUUGUAUUAAACUUUCCGUCGGAUAAACCACGGAGGCCGAAAGAAAACAAACACAAACACUUAAAAAAAUAUAAAAAAGGCAUCGAAAUUAUUAUUUAUUUAAAAAAAUUAAAUUAAAAAAGGAAAGGAAAAGGAGGAAAUUUCUGUCUGUGAGAGAGAGAGUUGUAAUCGUGUUCCUGUUCUCGUCAACGAACAACUCUUCCGAUUUCAUCUCCUUCCUCUCUCUCCCCAUGCGACUCUCUCUCCUUUCUCUCUCUCUCUAAAAUCCGGAAGUGCUCUUCUCUGCUCUCAAGAAUUCCAAGGUUCGUUCUUCGGUUUCCGGUUGCUUAUUGUUACUGCUUUUCUGAAUUUUGAGCUUAAUUGCAAGCUUUGCGUCCGGCUAAGCUAUUGUUCGUUCGUAAUUAUUGUGCUCUUUGAAACUUUUUGGAAUUUGGAAGUGGAAAUUUUGAAUUUUGAAGUGAAUUUUGGGGGGUUUGGGUUCGAUUUUUGUGUUUUUGCUGCUGCCGAGUUGUGUUUUGGAAGCAGAUUGUUGCCAAUUGGGACUUGGAACUGGAAGUGCUGCCGCCGUUUAAAUUAGGGUUCUUCACGUUCCUCCGCUGAGUGCGGCGUUUUCAGUGGACCUGUGCUUCAUUUUCUUUGUUUGUUGAGCUUUCAUUGUUUUGUAAUGGAGUUCGGGGCUUCUUUUCGGAGUUUUUUGUCUUCACUUUUGAUUUUACAAUUCUGGCAAUGUUAUUCAGAGGAGGAAAAUUGCCGUCAAUUGAAGUGCAGACGUAGCGUCUUUAGUAAAGAUGACAUGGUUCGGGCUAUUCUGUUGGGUUUCUUAGGGUUCUUGCUGCAGUGUGUGUGCUUGAUUGUAGUUUGAAAUUUUGUUCGGAGUCUUUGCGCGUAUUAUCUACUUUAUUCUUUGCUCGUUUGUUCCUAAAGAAAAGCAUUUGGAUGACUUCAGUUUCUAUGUUUAGCUUCUACUUUUUGUGCAUUCUUACUAAUACGAUUGUGACAAUAUGUUUUGGCACCGAAGUGAGGUCAGUUGAAUUCUUUGCUGUAAAGUUUGUGAUACGAGACUUUGUGAUGAGGCUGUUGCUUUUGUCUUAAUCCACUGCAGGAUUCCGGAGGGUUUCAUUUGAAUGCAAAUGUUGGCUGUUCAAUUGAAAGCAUUUUACUGGUUUGCUAAAACGUUGUAAAACAAUAGUUAAUGCCACAUUCUAGCUUCUCGUUGAAGUUUUCCAAAGCAAUGUUGACUGUACAAUAAUGUUUUUGUUCUUCAUAGAAAUUUGACCGCGAGAAACUGGUAUGUUAUUCUUGUUACUGUCAUUGAUUUGUUUUCACAAAUUGAAGAAUAAGUGAGAAGAAGAGAAUCAUAUUGGAUGGGUAAUAAGCUCGGAAGAAGGAGACAGGUGAUUGAUGAGAAAUACACAAGGCCUCAGGGGCUUUACCACCACAAAGAUGUGGAUCAUAAGAAACUGAAGAAGCUCAUACUUGAGUCCAAGCUUGCUCCUUGCUAUCCUGGAGAUGAAGAAUGCACUUUUGAUCAUGAAGAAUGUCCAAUUUGCUUUCUGGUUUGACUUCUACCGUAAUCCUUUUUAUUGUUCUUGUACUUUCCUUCUUGGUAUUCUUUGUCCUCUGCCUUUUGCUUUAUUUAAUUGAAGAAUAGUAGGUGGAGGAAACUACAUUACCUUCUAUUUACUCUAUGGUUUUAACUAAGUUGAAGUUUACUUGAAAAUUCAAUUUCCCUUCAAUUUUUCUGUUUCCUGAACCAUACACAACUAAAUUGAAAUUUUAAAGCAAUUUUUUUUUGCUACAUUUCCGGUACAGGGUAACUGGGAAGUUAUUUUUUAAUUUCUUCUUAGACACCAUUCUGGGAGGAACUCACAGAAUUUGAAUAUCUGAAAAAAGUUAAAUUGAAUUUUAUUUUGUAAUUAUUGUUGUUGUGUAAGUCUUCUGACUAUCCUAUUCCAUCCUUUUCUUUUCUUGUUUCAGUAUUAUCCAAGUCUUAACCGAUCAAGAUGCUGCAUGAAAGGCAUCUGUACAGGUUACAAUCAUGCAAUUUUUUACAUUUGAUAUGUCGGCUGUAAAUAUUUGCAUGUGAAUUGAUUAAUCUCCAUUUCCUUGCAGAGUGUUUCCUGCAGAUGAAAGUUCCUAAUUCAACUCGUCCUACGCAGUAUCCUUUGUUAUUGAUGUUAUACCUUCAAAUUUUGAAGUGCAAUUUGAAAUUUGUAAUAUGAAAACUGUCAUUUUUCAUUUGUUACUUUCAGCUCUUUGUGCUCGUUUUACUUAGCAUAAUUAGGUGCCCUUUUUGUAAAACCACCAAUUAUGCUGUGGAGUUCCGUGGUGUGAAAACAAAGGAAGAGAAGGGUCUGGAGCAAAUUGUAAGCAUAGAUCUGUCAUAAAAAAAUUGAUUUUAUUUUGAAUCUAUGGAUUCUUGUUCUACUGAUUUUCUCCACUGGAUGGAACUUGAAAAUUAUUUACAUUUCUGAAAACUCUGCAGGAAGAACAAAGAGUCAUAGAAGCAAAAAUUAGGAUGCGGCAGCAAGAACUUCAGGAUGAAGAAGAAAGAAUGCAGAAAAGACAAAUAAGCUCUCCAAGAAGAAGCAUGGCACCAGUGGAAGAUGAAUACAGCUCAGUAACCGGUAUGCUAACAAUAAGAUUGCGGAUUCUAUUAAUGUACAGGUAUUCAUUUGUUUACGUAAUGACAAAGUUUUCUGGUAGUUCGAUCCUCCACUUCUCCAGAAGAAGGAGAGGAAAUAGUUCCUUCUCAAGAUUCAUGUGCUGUGUCAAUGUGUACCCAACCGCCACCUCCAAGAGUGUACAGGUGUACAUUUUAAUUUACUUUAAUUUAUCUUUUUAUUUCUGGUCUGUGUGUUUAACCAUGGAACAAAUUGGGAUUCGAAAUAUGAGAAUGAAACAUCUGUUUACUAGUGUUAUCUUGCCCUAGUUUGUAGAUUAGAAAAAUAUAUGUUUGCAUUUAGAAUAAAAAGAAAACAAAAGAGGAGGAAAUUACUGCAGCAUAAUAGUCAGAAUAGGUUUCCAUAUCUUCAUGGAACUUUAACUAGUUGGAUCCUAGUUUGUGUACGAGUGAAUAGGUUCUCAGGUUUCCCAUAUCACAACCAUUUAUGCAUGCACCUUUCUCCAUGUUUGCACUUAUGAUGUGCAAUUGUGUGUGGAAAAAUUAACAUUUUUCACCAUGGAAUUAUCUGGCUUUUCACAUCAUACAUGCCAGAUUUUUUUAGAUUAAAAGGCUCUUAUGAGUGUUUGUUUUACAAGAUACAUGACAAUUUGAAUACGACUCAAGCAUGAUAUGGCACAACUUGAUUGCCAGCCAUGAUCCUAAUUUCUAUUUUAAAUUCCGAAACUGCAGGGAGGAUGAAUUCGAUCUGGAUCUUGAGGAAAUAAUGGUCAUGGAAGCAGUUUGGCUUUCUAUUCAGGUAAAAAUUGUAAAUUUGUUGAAAUCACGAGUCCUGUUUGAAAUAAGCUUCGUUACGAACUGUAUGGAAACCAUGUGUUACACUGUUCAAAUUGAAACCAAAUGCUUUUUGAUGAUUCUCUUAACUUAUUUAUUUACUUUGAAAUCUAUUAUGUGGUCUUUAAGUGCUUCUAUGAAGGUAAUGAGACUUUUAGUGAGUACUUUUAACUGGAGCUUAGUAAGUAGUGAUAUACUUGACUGGCACCCAAUAGUGAAAUGAAGGCAAGAAUGCUUACGUGAACAGAGAGUUGUAAAUUGCAUAUCCUUGAGGCUGAAAUGCUCAGUUUGUAAUAUGUAUAGCGCUGGAGCUUGUACUUUUGACAUGCGCAUCAGACAUAAAUAAACUAUUUUGAGUUGAAGCUCCCUCAUAUCAAACUGUUUGAGCCAAAGAUAUCUCUAUGUAGAUAAUGGUUGAAUUAUUUAAGCUUUAUAUUUAAUAAUCCUACUUUAAUCUUUAGUGUAGAACUUUAGAUGAGUGGUUACUAGGAAAGAUAAGAAAUAUGCAGUAUUUCUAAUACAGAUAAAAAGUGUUCAACGGAGAAAAUAUUGUUGCUGUUCCCAAAAUUUGUUGAUUGCAUCCUGGCUAUUGGUUUCAAAAUUCUGUAAACAUUUAUAUUCCUAGAUGUAAAACUUUUAAAGUGAUAUAACAUAAUGAACACAACAUUUUCCAUCCAGCCAUAGGAAUCUUGUUUACAGCAAUUAUCUAAAAAAUAUGUAUAUUUUGAACAUGAGUACGUCAUGUGAUGUGCGCACACCACCUCGAGUAUUUCAAAUGUUUUGGUGUUGUUGUCAUUGAUGAUGCAACCGAUAACUGUUUUGAUUUGUGAUAGUUACAAGCAAUUUAGUAGUAUUUGAAGUUUAUACCUCACUUUAUAUACUAGAUAUAUGUGUGUGCAUUGGUUGUGUUACGUUAAAUAUAAGUGGAUGUAAUAAAAGUUGUCAUUUAGUCAACAAUUGCUAAUUUGAGUGACUGGGAGACUAUUGAAGUUUUGGCUUUGUUCGAUAUUAGUUUCUUGGGGUAUUUUCUCUUGUAUACCUCCUUUGUACCAGGAUCACACCUAUUUUAUUUCGUUUUUCCUUUUUUUUUUUUUAAAUAUAUCUGUUAAUCCAUUAUGUAAAUUUUUCGGCCUUCCAACUCUUCUGUAUUGCACAACAAUUUUGUUUUUCAGGAGAAUGGGAGACAUAAGUCUCCAUCUUACGUAGAUGCUGCUCCGUCUGAACAAUUUGUCACGAGACAAAACCUUGUCUCACAAGCCAUGGCUUCAGUUUCCGGUUCAUCUUCACCAUCGGGGGGUCUUGCCUGUGCAAUAGCUGCCCUUGCGGAACGACAGCAAACGAGUGGAGAAUCCUCCACUAGUCCUGGCGGCAAUGUGUCGGGGGUUAGUAUGGUUCCUGGCAGUAGCAGGUUUUCCAACAGGGUGGACAGAGAACCCGGGAAUUAUCAAACUGCAGUGACCUCUUCUGAAAUGUCAAUCAAUCACAGGAUGGCUUCGACGCAGGAUGACAGAGAAUGGAAUGUUGACACUACACGGACGAGUUAUGCAAGUUCCGACACAACAGAAGAUGUUGGAAGUACAUCUGCCCCACCAACGGGGAGUGAGAUUGAGGGCGAUCUUCAAAAUGCCCCAGGCCCUAUUGUUCCCGAGAGUUUUGAGGAGCAGAUGAUGCUGGCCAUGGCCGUUUCACUGGCUGAGGCUAGAGCCGCGGCCAGUGGACCUGGAGUUUCCUGGCAGUAGGCUAGGUCAAGAUACUACUGAUAGGAAAUUCUGAAAUAGAUAUGGUGUGGCCACUGCAGUUUGCUAGCUGAGUCUCGAGCACGGAAACUGCACAAAAAUAGAAGAACAAAAAUUCACGCAAAUAGUCGAAAGGUCAAGGUAGUGAUGAUUCUCCCUCACUUUCUCUGCCCCUCUCAUGUUUCUAUAUAGAUGUGAAAGGAAAACAGAUUAUUCUAGUGAAAUGAAAGGCUUAUGGUUUUGCUAUUUCUUUAUGAUUUCUUCUCAUUACAGCUCGAUUAGCGAGUACUGAGGAUCGAUUUCAUUGUUUUGGCUUGUUUUAAAUUGUGUGCCUCGUUGGUACCACGGCGGCGGUGAAAUGGAGUUCUUUGCACCCCAACCCCGUGUAUUUGAAAAGAAACGGUUGAACUUCCAGUGCAUGACUGCGAAUUGCAAGACUGAUGUGCAUAAAACUUAAUUUAAUUUGUUUCUAAACAAAUGGCGAUGUUUGGUGUGGUUACAUCGGAGGGGGUUAAAUCCUAAUCAUUGUCUUUCCAUCCCGCUCCAUGUCGGAGGAUUCCAAGUUCGGCAGCGAAGUAAGGCCCAAAAUUGCUCACAAAAGAAAGUUGUACUUAGGUUUUCGAUUGGAUGCUUGGGAUCAAUUUAAAGAGACAAAAAGAAAACCUACAUCUGAUUGGGAAAAGAUGGAUUACAAGCCAACUGCCAAGUUUUGUAAACAAUGAAUUAUUGGUGAAAGGAAAGUUAUCUUUUAAAAAGUUGGAGUUGAUAGGAAGAAAUGGAAGCAAAUUGUAUCUAAGUUGAAGCCAGCAGGAAGAGCAUAGUGAAUUAGAUGUGUGAUAUCUAUAUAUAUGAAUCAGCCAUUGUGAAUUUGAUCCGUAUUACACUAUUAACAUUGAUGUAAGUUUGAUAAGGGUGAGUUUUAUAUAUUAAAUUUGGGAGCUGUCUACUUUUUCUUUUUCUUAUUUUAUGAUGGUCGCCUCUUCUUUUUUUCUCGUUAUUUGUUGUAUAAGUAUCACACUCAUUGAAUUCAAAAAUAAGAAUCACUCUCGUAGCACUUAAAUUUUCCCGUCCACCAUGGGAGUUUGAAUUCUAUAUUAUUGGUAUCACUCAAAAUUUCAAUUGUUUGAUAACUAUUUCGUUUUUAGCUUUAGCUUUUUAGUUUUGAGUUUUCAUUCUAUUAAAAACUGAAAACUACAAAUCAAAAGUUGAAAGCUAUUUUUUGAGUUUUCGGUUAUCAAAAGAAAUUCAAACAAAAACUGAAAAAAUUGGAACAAAAUGAAAAUCAUAUAGACCAUCUCCAACCCUUGGGUUAAAACCUAAAAUUUUAACCCAAAUCAUUUUGGUUUUAACCCAGAAACAAUUUUUCUCCUCAAACCAUUUUGAGUUAAAUUUUUAGCCCGAGAUUAUUAAAGAAUAAAUUUAGGAUAUUUUUUUCUUCUUGAAGUAACUUUUAAAAAAAAAUUAUGUAGACUAUUCUAAUUUAAUUUUAUAAACAUUUUAACCUAAAAAUAUUUAUAUUUCGAUAAAUACUGAAAAAUCACUAAACCGACACUAUGAAACUUGUGGAACACUAUGAAAGAAUAUAAACGCAUAAAAUAAUUAUUUUUUGAAUUACUUUCGCCGUUGAAUUUAUAUUUGGACCGUUAGAUCUUCUUGUUUACGGUUGAAUUCAAUUAAUUUAUAAAUAUAAAACUAAAAAAAUACACAUAUAUGGUGGGCCAGCCCCCACUAACUCGAGGAAAUCCUGGACUAAUUUUUGCCCCAGAAAUGAAACCCAUAUUUGCUCCAAGAGUUGGAGCAACUUGGGAAUCUAAAAUUUGAGUUUUACUCCAAGGGUUAUCGUAGGUCUAAAACAAUGUUCUAAAAAUCAGCCCAUCCCGAUUUUGGACAAAUCGUUUCAAAAAGUCGGUCGGGAGCUAGGCGGUCCUAGGCGGCGCUUAGGUGGGUUAGGCGGUCAUAGGCGGCACCUGGGUGGUCCUAGGUAGUUUUUUUUAUAUUUUAUAUAUUUUUUAUUAAUUGUGUGCUUUUUUCUUUUUUGGUUUCAUGGUGUUAUACUUAUGGAAAUGAUGUACCUAAUUUGCAAAUGAUGGAUUUACUACAAGUUCAUCCAAUAGUGAAACGAAUUAGAGCACUUUUGAGGGGAUACAUACAAAGAAAAAAAAUAAACUAGAUACAACAAGGUUAAAUAAUUUAGUCUAUGUCCAAUCCAAUGCAAGAAUCAUAAUUCAUGAACAAGAAGAAUUUAAUCUAUCAUCCAAAUCCUCCUCAUUAUGAUACAUGCUUACUGUUUUUUAAAUAUUGAACUUUUUGGGUGUAUAUAAUUUGUGUAUUCUUCUAUUUCUAUUUUUGCAUUUUAUCAUUAUUUUAUUAUCCAUACAAGUAUAGUUUUUUUAGGUGUAAAUUACAAGAUAUAUAAUAAAUUUACAUAAAUUCGCCUAGGCCCUCCUCCACCUAGCUGCUUAGGCACUAGGUCCCUACCCACCGCCUAACUAGCGCCGUCGCCUAGUGAUUUUUAGAACCUUGGUCCAAAAAUACUAUAUCUUCUACCUUCAACUUAGACACAAUUUGCUUCCAUUUCUUCCUAUUAACUCCAAAAGGUUUCCGAGAGCGAGGGUGAGUGCCAACAGCUAACAGACGUCGAAAUGUGAGGUGGAGAUGGAUUUUAUGAGACCGGGCCUCAAAGUAGGUGAAGAUAUAUCAUAAACCAUUAACUUUCACAUGCAGUGUCUGUUUCUAUAAUUUCACAAAACUCAGCUUACUCUUUUAGUUCCAUUUCCAUAAGAUUCAAACUUUUCAAGCUUUGCAAUUUGAGUGAGGACCGCACGAUGACCUGCACUCCUCACUCUUUGUUUACCUACAUUAUUGCACUCCACAAAUGCCCCUAUAUCACUUAGAGUGAUAAAAGGGAUCAGUACCUAGGUAUUGCUAAUAAUUUGACCUUGUCAAAUCUGACUUUGGACCAAAGUUAGGGUUUCACCAUAAGUAACUAAGACAUUUGAAUGUGCGAGGCUCUCGUUGCUCUUUCUUCGUACCCAAGGUUUUGUCUUUGAUUCUUGAUUCUUCUUUUUAAGUAUUAAUUUUCUCUGCAUUAUGUUAGUUUUGCAUUUGGAUUCAUCUCAAAGGUUAUGUUGGGGUUGGUCAUUAUAGAAGUUUAUCCAGAGUUCAUUGUCACGUCUCUUACAAUAUUGGAUGGAAGAACUGAUUGUUUUGUCAAUUGCUUGUGCAUUAUAAUUUUUCUAUUUCAAUAAUAUUAUCACUUUUUUUCUUUUCAAAAUAUCGAUUGUUUGAAAAAAAACAAACAUUUGAAAUAAAUAUGAAAUCUACCAUAAAAAUUAAUAUUUAUUAGAAAUUUAAGGCGGAAAUGAAUGUAUUUUUUUUCCUUUAACAAAUAUCUAUUUUGUACAUUUUAAUUUGAAUUACGAACUUCGUGUACAAAUGCAAGUAAUACAAGUAUCCACCCUGAAUUUAUCUUCUCUAGACGAAGCUUUAGGGGCUGCAAAUUUAUGCAUCGACAAGGAAGGCAGCCAAAUCCCGUCUACUUUAAUAUUGAAGUCAUCUUGAAUUUGAAGUGUGCCUUUAAACAUACGAGUGAUUGAGAGCCAAUUGGUAAUGCUCAAUGCCAAGAUUCGAAUAAAAAAAAAAGAGAGAGAAAGCAAAUGGAUUUCAAAUAUUUUGUUGCAUAUAAUGAUCUCGGAUGUUACGUUUUUGUUGCGAUUUCAAAUGUACUUCGUCUGGUUAUUUUUUUAAUCCAAUGCCUUCUAAAUUUUGUAGCAAAUUGAGUCUAAAAAUAUAGUAUAAUUAAACGCUUACGAAUGAGAGUACCAAUGGAAACUCUAGGAGGUUUCGGGGUAGGAUGAAAAAUGUGAGAUUCUACUAUAAAAUCAAUUGGCAAUAUGGUAAGUAACUCAACUUGUUUAUAAGCCCGUGUAAGGUCCCUCAUUCCAUCAAUGUAGAUUCAUUUUCAACACACUCGUUCACUUGUGGUGAAUUUUACGCCAAACAUGUGGACAACACAAACAGGGUGACAUGAAGCACAUGUGGGUUACAUAGAACACGAUCAUUGGGUUUCACACGUGAGACAACUACUCUAAUACCAAGUUAAACCAACAGGUUUUGAUUCUUGUGUAAAUUAAACAAAGGAAAACAUUGGUGGAUUAGGCACAUUAGAGUAAUGAUAAUGUGACCCCAUUGCAUUAUUGUUAAUUAGUACCAAACACUAAACCAUCAUAACAUAUGAUCGUAUCUUUUUAUAGUAAUAAUAAUGUGACCCCAUUGCAUUAUUGUCAAUUAGUGCAACACUAAAUCAUAUUAACAUGAUACUAUCUUUUCUUAAACACCAUGAUAUAACUAGGAUUAACAUGAGACUAUCUUUUCUUGAACACCAUGAUAUAACUAGGAAAUUAUAAUUAUGAAAGUAUGAGUAACUUGGCAAUCUAGUGGGGUCAUUUACACUAAUAGUAUCUACACAUUACUACACACUCCAGUGCUGUAAAGAUUAUAAACAAAUGAAUAAUAUUAAGCUGCAUUGUGUUGAAUUUCAAUCUAGUCACCAUACGAAUUUCAAAAAAAUAAAAUUCAACGAAAUACAGGACACUGUAAUAUGCUAUUUAAUUCAAAUACAUAAAUGUGAUGAUAAUGCUCACCGCAAAUUAAUGUGGUGAGCUAAUCUAUCACGUUUUGAAUUUAGUAAUUCUUUUCCCAACACUCUCACAUACAAUGAAUUUUAAAUGAUUUUGCAAUAAUAUAAAAUAAAAAAACUACGAGAGCCGGGGUAACAAUUGAAUAACUUUUGAUAUCUCUAGAAUUUUUGUUUAGAAAAUAAUUUUUAUGUAUUAUUUUUUUUUUCAAACGAUAGAUUUUGUUAGAUUAAUCAUUGACGGAAUUUGAACUCACACUGUUAUAUAAAAACUCAACACAUUUUCAUCACUGUGGUAAAGAACCACUUGCAAUUAUGCAUUAUUUUUCACUUCUUAUACAUUCUUGGUGUUUUUAAUCAUUGCAUUAAACAAAGCUACAUAAAAUCAAUGACAGAAUUAAUAAAAAUGUGCAGAAGAAACUCCACUUUUGGUUUUGGAUGUAUUGUUUGGCAUGAACGAUGAGUCGAUGACAAGGGAGGUGAUUCCAAACUUGUCUAUUUAUUUGCAUGCACAGCCUUUAUAAACGCACGUAUCGACGUAUUGUCAAAAUGCACAUAUAUUGAGAAAUUUUAAAUGCACGCAUUGUCGUUAAAGAAACAAGAAGAAAACGUUUGAGAGAUUUUGAAAAAAGUUUUGAACUUUGAACAAGUUCAAAGCAGACAAAAAGGAGUAAUGUUAUUCAUACUAUAUUUUUAUAAUAUUUUAGAUGGCACUGAUUUAGAUAGAUACAUCAUUUAAAUUUUUUUUUAAAUCCAGGAAAAUGAAUGAGAUACCACAAUCAUUAUUUAAUUAUUUAUUUUCUUAAUUCUUAGUUUAUUAAAUAAUGAAUAAAAUUUAAAAAUCUGAUUAAUUCAAUUAAUAUGAAUAUGAUAUAAAAAUACGGUAAGCAUUACUCGACAAAAAGACAAGAUUGAAAGAGUAAGAUCCAUGCAAAUGCAGAGUUGGAUUUUCCCAAGAUCCUCUACUUUCACAUCGAAUCAUUAUUAUCGAUAGUCGUUUCUUUGAAAUUUACUCUUUUGUACUCUUCUUCCUCCACCCACCUUCUUGAAAAGCUGAAUGCCACUGCCACUCUCUCACUCACCUUUAAUUCAAACUUCAAACUUCAAAGUUCCGACCUCUCUCUCUCUCUCUAGACCGUCUUCUCUUCUGGGAUGAGUUUUUACUGCCUAGUUUUUCAUGUUUAAGAAAAAGCUGUCAUCUUUUAACACCAAAACCCAACUUGUGGAGCUCAAGAAACCAUCCUUUACCAUUUUCUAGCAAAUGGGUUAUUUUCUUUAGUCCCUAAUAUUCAAAAGGCGAGGUCUUUCAUGGAGUUCAUCAGUUGAGAUGCCACUCAGAUCACUGACAUUAUUUACCUGGAAUCUGCACUUCUAGAGUUUGCAAUGUGAGAAUUUUUUUCUUCCCAUUUCUACCUAUUAUUUCCUCAAUUUCUAUGCUUUUGCAUGUUUAUAAGGUGGGGAUUUGAAAUCUUGUUACUCACAAUUUUCUUUCCCUUGGUUUAUUGUUCAAGGAUCUGAGUUUUGGCAUUUCUUUUCUGUCUUACUUUGGAGGUGUGAGGUACACUUUCUUGGGACUUUAACUUCCAUUUAGAAUUCGAGACCCUCCAGAAAAUGUAAAAUUACAACUGAAAAAAGGAGUGUAGUUGGGUUAAAACAUGCAGUGUCAGCAAGUUUGAGAUUCUGAAAAUCCUUGAUAGUUGGUUUGCUUCAAUCUUAUGUUGAUGGAUUGGAAAUGUUUCACUCCAAAGAUCAAUAAUUAAGUCACCUCUUAUAAAGUACAUCAGGUUAGUGGUGCCAAUUUGAAGGUUAUACGAUCACCCAAUUAUUGUUAAAAGUUUUAGAGAGGCGGAUCAACGGGCCACUACUAAUCACCUUCGACGCAAAGCCUACAUUCUUCAACGACUAUGACUCUAAGCAAUACGAAAUUAAGAUCCGUUGUAUUUUUUGUUUUGGUAAGAUUUCCGAUGUAGGGCUUUACAUUCUUCAACGACUAUGACUCUAAGCAAUACGAAAUUGGCUAGCCAUGGUUGAUUAUUGCUUGACACAAUCUUAUAAAAUGAUAAUCAUCAUAGGACACAUUCUUAUAAAAUUAUAGAAUGAUCAUCAUAGCCAUGGGUGAAUGGGUAGUAUUAAGGAUUGUAGCUGGGGGGGUGUUCCCUACGGUGUGCAAGAUACGGCAGCUGAAGGGAGCCUUCCACGCAUGUGCCUGGUCUUGUAUCCCAAGAUCGGCAAACAUUGCGGUGGACUUUGUUGCGUCGCACUUUGGCACGGAGAUGUGCAACUUGGUUUGGGUCAUCCGGCCCCCAUCUUCAUUUGUGAGGGUCCUAAACAAAGACGGGUUACCUUGCCCACCUAGUUAGUUUUUUGUGGUUGUAAUGGUCUGGCGUGGUUUUGAUCCGUGCCUACCUACCUCCCUUACUUCCAGUUAAUUAGCUUUGCAUUUGCUUGCCCGGUGUGGCUUUCGUGUUUCUUCUGGCUUCAGCCCUGGCAAUGAAAUAUUCCCCGGUUCUCAAAAAAAAAAAAAAAAAAAAAAAAAAAAAAAGAAUCCACUUUUCAGCCUUCCUGCACAUCACAUGAGCUUUGUCAGUGGAACAAAAGAAAAGUGGAUGCAAUUUUAGAGCCAAAAAUGUCAAAUGACGAGCGUGCCACUGCAAUGUUUCAAGCCCAAGAAAUAGUUUCAGCUCAUUAGGUUGAAAAACAUGCCUGCACUUGAUAAUGUGGGGAAGAGGGACUUUUGAGAAAGCUUUUGCACUGUCCCAGAAGCAUGCUAGCUGAGAUAUGCAGGCCAUGCGGAGCAUGGGGUUUUGUAAAAGUGAAAUUAAGCCUUGAAUUAUGUAACAACUCAAAUGCAUUGCAGUUUUUUUUUCUCUUUAGGAGACUAGGACCAUUUGGUGUGUAAAUCUGCAUUCCCAUUUACCUUCUGAUGAGCAGAGCACCCGAAAACGGAAACAUGUCAUGUGUUUUAGAACAUCAUUUUUCCAGAUGGGUUCAUCUGUGCUUAGCAGGGAUAUUUGAUUGUAAUCGCCCUAGUAUAUUUAGCAUUGAUAUGCAAGAGGAUGGAGUUUUUAGCCGAUAGUACGACAGUAUAUGUCGAAUAUCAUUCUUAUAUUACUCAGUUAUGUGUUUUAUUCUAACUACAUUUUUUCUUAUGCUCACAAGUUAACAGAACAUAGCCCUUCGUCUUCAGCGAAUCUUCUAAGCGCAACAAAUGCUGCGAUCAAGGUUAGAGAAUGCUCAUUAUCCCUAAUGUGGGUUUGGCUUUUGUGUCCAUGUGUGUUUAUGUAUAUUCCUUAAUCUUGCAGUAGAUAUUUUUUUUUUCUUCUUAACCUUGCUGGUCCGAAGGUUAUCAUUUUUGAGUACAUUGUGCAGCAUAACUUGACAACAGAACCAAUCAAGAUCUUAAAUGUGAUCGGUAUUUAGUGUCUUAAGAGGUUCUUUUGCUUAAUCAGGCCAUUAUUUGAACUCUAGCGGUUUAUAUUACAUGUCUUAAGCUUGACCCUGAGAGAUAUGCAAUUACAUAUGAAAAUGGAAUUAGUAUCUGAUGGAAAAUUCUUGUCGGGAUUUUGGGGAAUAGGGGCUCUGAAAUGGUUCAAAGGCCGUCUCCUCGAGGCUCACAUCAGCUCAGGACAUCAAGCUCUGAUUCAGAUCCACUCCAUCAUCGACCAAUAACUGAUCGAAGUCCAAAGCUAGGAGGGGAUCGCCGUUCCCCAAGAGGUACACAAUCUGAUCCACUAAACCAAAAGAAGAUUGGAACCCGCCUUGCUGAUUUGGAAUCCCAACUUGGGCAAGCACAAGAAGAGCUAAAGAUACUGAAAGAGCAGUUGGCUUCAGCCGAGGCUGCAAAGAAAGAAGCACAAGAGAAACUGGAAAAUAAAACUAAGAAACGAGUUGUGACUUCUGAGCCAGUGAUGAUCCAUGAAACGCAUCCUCCAUUGGAAAAUCAGGACUCUAACAAAACGGACAGUUGUUCCUCUGAUGAAGUUCCAGAUGACAUCCAAAAGGAAACCGAUGUUUAUGAAGUCCCAGUAGAAAAAGUUACAGUUGAGCCAAAGGUUGAACCCAGUGAGACUGAUCAGGUGGAAGAAGAAACCAAACCAGUUGUUAUAUCAGAUGAACCGCCAUCAAAUUUGGAAGCAGAGAAACUUACCGCCUUACGUGACCUAGCUUUGAAGAAUGAUGAGAUAAACAUGCUAAGAGCUGAGUUGGAAGAGAAGGCAAAGCAGCUAGAAGUGUUUGGUGAAGAAAAUCAAGGUUUAAAGAAUCAGCUAAACGAAGCAGCAUUAAAUAUUUUAUCUGCCCAAGAAAAGGAAAAGGAAAUGUCCUUGAAGUUAAGUCAGCUAGAGGAAGAGCUGGAAGCAAGUAAGGCAAAUGCAGGUCAGUUGAACGCAACGCUGCAGGCAACAGAAGGAUCAAAGGAAGCGCUGGAAGCGGAAAUAAAGAAGAUGAGAGUGCAGACAGAGCAGUGGAGAAAGGCUGCAGAUGCUGCUGCUGCAGUACUUGCCGGGGGUGUGGAGAUGAAUGGUAGGAUUUCUGAGAGGUGUGGCUCCAUGGAUAAGCACUUUGGUGGAGUAUUUGAGCCAUCAGCUGGUGGCUAUGCCGGCUUUGUGGGGUCACCUGCUGAUGGCUUGGACGAUGGGUUCGGUAGUGGUAAAAGAAAGGGUUCCGGCAUAAAAAUGUUUGGUGACUUGUGGAAAAAGAAGGGCCAGAGAUAAGAGUUCCUUUUUUUGUAUCUCUCGCCCACACUCGCGCUGAACUUUGAAAAUCUCUGUUUUUCCGUUGGUGUGUGAUAGUAGCAAAACAGUUUCUUACUGUUUCAGACUCGGCAGGCAGCGCGUUUUGGAUCCGCCGUCGUAGUACGCAUGUUUUCCUAGUAAUUUCAGUCGUGUAUAAUUGUUUAAACGAUCUUGACAUGUUUUAUUUCAGUUUAUGAGUAAGGCUUUGGUGUACCUUCUCUAAUAAUAUUUUUGUGCUACCUUACCUUAAUGCAAUUUCCAACAUUUCCUUGUGAUACUUUCAUCAUUUUAUUUCGUAUACAACGACAAAAAGUACUUAAAUUUUUUUUUUUUGGGUCAAAGUGCAACUUUUAUUACGAACCAAACAAACAAACAAUACAAGGUCCAAAACAGACACAUGGACAAGCAAAAAAUGGGCCAAGACAAAACAAAGUACAACGGGCCAACCAACUGUUGCAACCCAAACACAAAGACAACUUUACGAACACUAGAAACAUCCACUGCAACCAUCCUCGUCGCAGCAACCAAAAUCCGUCCAAUUCCUCAUCCCCAGCCGAGUAUCUCCUCUUCAAACGCAGCAUCUUACCCCGAUCUGCUACAUGAGCACAGCCACAAGGAACGGAUAGCCAGCAACGACACAACGGAAGCCGACUAUCAGGAUGAAGCCCGUGGAAACCCACGAACAACGCUGCCGCAAAAGGCAGAUAAGCUGGAGAAGGUGGUGGUGUUAGAAACACCUGAGCCGGAAAAACCAUUGGAGCUCUACACAUGAUCUCCACGAUAUUCAUGGUUGAAAACCGGAAUAAAGAUGAACACAUAAGAGGGGCACCAACUGGGUAAGAGGGAUAGAAUAGAUCUGGGUUGAAAGCAAGGGAAGAAAGCAGCAGAAACAAAAAACAGAGGAAAGGAAAAAAUAAGGGAGGAAACGGCGACCGACCCCAGCUACGGCUAGGAUCGGCGCCACCGAAUUUUCGUGAUUUGUGAAGACUCACACCAGAAGGUGAGAAAGACUCUCAGACGGAGAGAGAAAAAAGUUUUAUCGAACUUUAAAAAAAG